Gasterosteus aculeatus aculeatus (three-spined stickleback) is the source of this 769-nucleotide long non-coding RNA. The record is from Ensembl. NCBI's taxonomy places the organism in Eukaryota, Metazoa, Chordata, Actinopteri, Perciformes, Gasterosteidae.
GCGAAAUUGCUGUUCAAAGAGCAGCUGUCACGGAAUGAGGUUAGCCGUGCACCUGUUAAACCCGUUCAUUUGCCGCCGCCGCCGCCUUCCGUUUCACUUCUUUAAAUUGCCCGACAUGUCGGCCGCGGCUCGCCUCUGAGUGAUGAGAAGCGGGGAAAAAGCUUAGGGGAGCGUGCCAGACGAGAACCCAGUGAUCCAAAUGGAAGUGGAAGUUGGACGUUUAGUUCAAACCAUUGUCAGCGAUCAGGUCGUCUCUUCAAAAAGAACCUCCAGUUAAAAACGGCGUCUGAUCAAGUGGAACAUUGGGGACCUUCUGCAGUUUGUUGUGCUCCGUUCCGUCGCUACGAGCGUGACCCGAAGGGCAAAACACGGGGUUCCGCUGCGUACGUCGAAAGCCGCGUGGUUAUCUUUGACCCCGAGCGCCAGAGUGACAGCGGCUGACCUCGGAGUCGACAGCCUCUCCCUCUGCUGCGUGAGGAGCCCCAAUGCGUCACGAAGCGGCUUCUCCCGCCUGCUCGUGUUUACCGCCGGUCACGACACUUUCUCCGCUCGAGCACCGUCAGUCAAGCGACAAAUCGGCAGCGACUGGUGGAACAAGAUAGUCAGAGGGUGGUCGCGAAGGUUCAAGUCUGACAUCCAAUUAGCUGCUUCAGUAAAACGUGAAGGGAAAAGGUGGCAUUAUGACCAUUACAUCGAGGAAAAUAACUUUAAUUUGUAGUGCAUGCAUUGGUUUUAAGUGAAUAAAUUACCCUUUUUAUGCAUUCUGAUC